This 255-nucleotide ribosomal RNA is filed under the name uncultured bacterium. RNAcentral's name for it is "partial 16S ribosomal RNA". It matches the Rfam family "Bacterial small subunit ribosomal RNA", at positions 524 to 776 of the family's 1533-position model. The record is from RNAcentral.
UACAGAGGUCCCAAGCGUUACUGAGAAUCACUGGGUUUAAAGGGUGCGUAGGUGGUCCGUUAAGUCAGUUGUGAAAUCCCCGGGCUCAACCCGGGAACUGCUUCUGAUACUGGCGGACUUGAGGCCAGUAGGGGUCACUAGAACUGACGGUGGAGCGGUGAAAUGCGUAGAUAUCGUCAGGAAUGCCGGUGGUGAAGACGGGGUGACUGGGCUGGUUCUGACACUGAGGCACGGAAAGCGUGGGGAGCGAACGGG